GAUGAAGAACGUAGCGAAAUGCGAUAAGUAAUGUGAAUUGCAGAAUUCAGUGAAUCAUCGAAUCUUUGAACGCACAUUGCGCCCGUCAGUAUUCUGGCGGGCAUGCCUGUUCGAGCGUCAUUACGCCCCUCUAGUCCCCUGUGGACUUGGUGUUGGGGAUCGGCGAGGCUGGUUUUCCAGCACAGCCGUCCCUUAAAUUAAUUGGCGGUCUCGCCGUGGCCCUCCUCUGCGCAGUAGUAAAACACUCGCAACAGGAGCCCGGCGCGGUCCACUGCCGUAAAACCCCCCAACUUUUUAUAGUUGACCUCGAAUCAGGUAGGACUACCCGCUGAACUUAAGCAUAUCAAUAAGCGGAGGA
RNAcentral lists this unclassified non-coding RNA (358 nucleotides) under soil metagenome. Its description in RNAcentral is "partial contains 5.8S ribosomal RNA, internal transcribed spacer 2, and large subunit ribosomal RNA". The stretch from base 1 to 120 matches the Rfam family "5.8S ribosomal RNA", at positions 35 to 154 of the family's 154-position model. The record is from RNAcentral.